CCUUAAUAGCGGCUGCACCAUUAGGAUGUCCUGAUCCAACAUCGAGGUCGUAAACCCCCUCGUCGAUAGGGACUCUGGGAUAGGAUUGCGCUGUUAUCCCUAGGGUAACUCUGUCCGUUGAUCGGCGUUCGCCGGAUCAUUUUUGGUCAGAAAUUCUGGUGCUUAGAGUUGUGGCUCUUGGUUGUGGGGGCAGUGCCCCCAGUCCACAUGGGGGCUUUGUUUUCCCCCGCGGUCGCCCCAACCAAAGACAUAGGGGCUAGGGGUCACUGUGUUUUUACUUGUUAAUUCAGGGUUACUUGACGUGAUCUGCCUGGUGUCUAAAGCUCCAUAGGGUCUUCUCGUCUUAUGUAUUUAUGUCCGCUUCUGCACGGG
Molecule: ribosomal RNA, 372 nt
Filed under: Salmo trutta fario
Lineage: Eukaryota; Metazoa; Chordata; Actinopteri; Salmoniformes; Salmonidae
Description: partial 16S ribosomal RNA
Source: RNAcentral